Molecule: long non-coding RNA, 967 nt
Organism: Sinocyclocheilus grahami
Lineage: Eukaryota; Metazoa; Chordata; Actinopteri; Cypriniformes; Cyprinidae
Exons: 5
Source: RefSeq, a predicted model, not a curated record
AAAACAUGGAGCCCAACAAGACUGCUGCUGGAAAUCUAGAGUUUGAGCGUCAGCUUCCUUGGAUCAAAUGAUAUGCAUUUGAAGAGUUUCAACAAAUAUCAGGUUUUAACGCAGCCUGUGCUUACAUUUAUUUAUUAGAUUGGGUCGUAUGAAACUGGAGUAGCUGAAAUACACUUCUUUACUGAAACAUCUUCAAUCUUGAACUUCAGUAUCACUUUGUUUGAGAAAGACUCAAGUUCAUUAAGACAUGCUAAAGGAGAGAUGGAUGCCGUGGUGAAGAAAUCCCCUGGGUGCCCCCUUCCGACAGCUGACCCCCGUCACGGGGGAUAAGGAUGGAUUUAGCCGGAAAGGCAAAACCGUAUAUUUACUUCUGGACUAGAAAGUUUAUUUUUGUAUCUUAAGAGAACAGAGCUGAUUAAGAGAAUUGAGUGGGAAAAUCUUCUUGAGUAGGUGGCGAUAAUGUACCUUAACAUAGGUGCUACCCGCCAUAAAACCGAAGAAGAAGAAGGCAAAACCGUCCGCAGGAAGAGCGCCCCCUGUUGCUACGGUCAGACAGCACACGACUCAUCCUGGUUGAGGACUUGCCAAACGGAGCUGCACAGGGAAAGGAAACUGAGGCAAGUCAAAUUUGCGCAAAAGAACGCAUAAAGAACCGCAGUGAGGGCACAUUACAGAAGCCCACACCGCUUCACGAAGGCACCUGUACAGAGGGCAAACAUAAUAAGCAAGACCCCCACCAAAAGUGACAGCUCUCUUUUUGGCGCCUUCCAAGGACUCAGUCUCAAUAUGAAUGUAGCACAAACCUCCAUAACAACACCACCAAAUGCAGAUCCGUGUAAAGUCGUGUGACCAAGAAAACCGUUUCAAAUGACUCUAAUGAUGGGACUGUUAUCAGUAUAAUUCCUGCUUACCAAGAGGAGGUUCCUCAAGAGCGCUGCUGAUUAAUAGGCCUAUCAGUUCAAUAUCU